RNAcentral lists this ribosomal RNA (392 nucleotides) under uncultured bacterium. Its description in RNAcentral is "partial 16S ribosomal RNA". It matches the Rfam family "Bacterial small subunit ribosomal RNA", at positions 523 to 918 of the family's 1533-position model. The record is from RNAcentral.
AUACGUAGGUGGCAAGCGUUAUCCGGAAUUAUUGGGCGUAAAGAGGGAGCAGGCGGCAGCAAGGGUCUGUGGUGAAAGCCUGAAGCUUAACUUCAGUAAGCCAUAGAAACCAGGCAGCUAGAGUGCAGGAGAGGAUCGUGGAAUUCCAUGUGUAGCGGUGAAAUGCGUAGAUAUAUGGAGGAACACCAGUGGCGAAGGCGACGAUCUGGCCUGCAACUGACGCUCAGUCCCGAAAGCGUGGGGAGCAAAUAGUAUUAGAUACCCUAGUAGUCCACGCCGUAAACGAUGAGUACUAAGUGUUGGAUGUCAAAGUUCAGUGCUGCAGUUAACGCAAUAAGUACUCCGCCUGAGUAGUACGUUCGCAAGAAUGAAACUCAAAUGAAUUGACGGGG